Molecule: non-coding RNA, 1513 nt
Organism: Podarcis lilfordi (Lilford's wall lizard)
Lineage: Eukaryota; Metazoa; Chordata; Lepidosauria; Squamata; Lacertidae
Source: the annotation of a GenBank genome assembly
AUUACCUGGGAGCAGGUAGGCAAGUGAUAUGCUGCUCCUUGCAUGCUGAGGGGGUUGGUUGCUGGAUUUACAGCUUUGGUUUUCAGUUUGUUUUCCAAAACACAAAUUCGUGGAACAAAGAGUCAUCGUCCUAGAGCUCUUACAAUAGUGCUGCCACUUCACUCGGUUGGCGUCUUGCUCUGCCACUGGUGCUCUUCCUAUGUUGAAUUACAACAGGCAAAUUAACCAAGACAUCAAUGAGCCAAUGCUGGUUUUAUCUCAAAUGUAAGUAAGUAGCCUCAUUUAUGCUGACUUUUGGAAAGGGUUCAUUUCUUCCUUCAGUAACCUCAGGUUGAAAUAAACAGAAUAAUAUGUCUUCUGUAAUUGUUUCUAAUAAUAAGCAGAGAAAGAAAACAAACCCUUUGAUUGGUUUAGCAUGCUCUUUGUGGAACCUUGUAAUAUCCCAGACUAACAAGAGUCUGCAUUUACCUGUGCAUUAAUGGAUGCGAGAACAACAAAUUCACUCACAGUGAUGAGUUCCCAUUGCCUUUAAUGAUGCCUCUGCUUCUUACAAGUGCAGCUAGGAAAAGUGCAGAGCAGUGUCAUUUGUUGCUUCCAAACACUGUUUAUUUUUUAUCUUUAUGCAAAGAAAAUAAGAGGCUGGGUUGACAGAAAAGCACAGCAAAGAGUCAGUCCAAUGGUCAAUUUCACAAGUGUCACAGUUGCCACCUCAUUGCAAAGCAAUACAAUUGAAAUGCAAUGGAUUAUCAUAAUCUUAACUGGAGUUGCAGUACCAUCAACAGAAACUUAGCAAAAUGAUUGCCUUUCACGAUGCUUUCUGGCAGUCAGAAUAGUCCUCUGAGAAAUGGAGCCAUCUUCUUCUUCUUCUUUGGCGAUCACUCAUAGCCGAGGAUGAUUGUCUUCCAUAAACACGGUUUUAACAAUGAGUCCGUAAGUGACUGUGGAGGCCAAUUCUGGAUCCACACGUCCUUCCACAGUGGGGACAUUUGUUUCUGGAUGGGAGUUGAUCACGGUGUGGAUUUGCCAAGCGUGCCUUCCUCUUAGCACGUUUCUCCCUUGCGUUCUGAGUUCAAGUGUCUUCAAAGUCCAUGGCAGCUUUGGUAAAGGCUGUUCUCCAACUGGAGCUCUCAAAGGCCAGUGUUUCCCAGUUGUCAGUGUUUAUACUACAUUUUUAAAGAUUUGCCUUGAGACAGUCUUUAAACCUCUUUUUUUUGACCACCGGAAUUACAUUUUCCAUUUUUAAGUUGGGAAUAGAGUAGUUGCUUUGGAAGACGAUAAUCAGGCAUCCACACAUGACCAGUCCAACGAAGUUGAUGUUGAAGAAUCAUUGCUUCAACACUGUCAAUCUUUGCUUUUUCCAGUACACUGGCAUUAGCUCGCCUGUCUUCCCAAGUGAUGUGUAAAAUUUUUCGGAGACACUGUUGAUGGAAUCUUUCGAGGAGUUGGAGAUGGUGUUUAUAAGUGGUCCAUGUUUCACAAGCAUACAGUAAGUUUGGUAGUACAAUAGCUUUGU